GCGCUCGCUUCAGCAGCACAUCUACUAAAGCUGGAGCAAUACAGAGAGUAGCAAGGUCCCUGGGCAAGGAUGACAUGCAAAUUCGUGAAGUGUUCCAGAUUUUU
Psammomys obesus (fat sand rat) is the source of this 104-nucleotide small nuclear RNA. The record is from RefSeq and is a predicted model, not a curated record. Lineage: Eukaryota; Metazoa; Chordata; Mammalia; Rodentia; Muridae.